RNAcentral lists this ribosomal RNA (800 nucleotides) under uncultured bacterium. RNAcentral's name for it is "bacterial SSU rRNA". It matches the Rfam family "Bacterial small subunit ribosomal RNA", at positions 83 to 884 of the family's 1533-position model. The record is from RNAcentral.
ACUUUGAUGAGAGUGGCGCACGGGUGCGUAACGCGUAUGCAACCUACCUUUAACAGGGGAAUAGCCCCGAGAAAUCGGGAUUAAUACUCCGUAACAUUGCGGUGUGGCAUCACACUGCACUUAAAGCUGAGGCGGUUAAAGAUGGGCAUGCGUGACAUUAGCUAGUUGGUGAGGUAACGGCUCACCAAGGCAACGAUGUCUAGGGGUCCUGAGAGGGUUAUCCCCCACACUGGUACUGAGACACGGACCAGACUCCUACGGGAGGCAGCAGUAAGGAAUAUUGGUCAAUGGGCGCAAGCCUGAACCAGCCAUGCCGCGUGCAGGAAGACGGCCCUAUGGGUUGUAAACUGCUUUUGUCAGGGAAUAAACCCCCGCUCGUGAGCGGGGCUGAAGGUACCUGAAGAAUAAGCAUCGGCUAACUCCGUGCCAGCAGCCGCGGUAAUACGGAGGAUGCAAGCGUUAUCCGGAUUCAUUGGGUUUAAAGGGUGCGCAGGCGGAUUGGUAAGUCAGGGGUGAAAUCCCACAGCUCAACUGUGGAACUGCCUUUGAUACUGUCAGUCUAGAGUAUAGUUGAAGUUGGCGGAAUGUGUCAUGUAGCGGUGAAAUGCUUAGAUAUGACACAGAACACCGAUCGCGAAGGCAGCUAGCUAAGCUAUAACUGACGCUCAUGCACGAAAGCGUGGGGAUCAAACAGGAUUAGAUACCCUGGUAGUCCACGCUGUAAACGAUGAUUACUCGAUGUAUGCGAUACACAGUAUGCGGCCAAGCGAAAGCAUUAAGUGAUCCACCUGGGGAGUACG